GAUAUUCUAGAUAUAAUAUACAGUGAAAAUCACUUAAAAAAUCUAUCACAAGAACAUUGGGACGUAAUUUACAAUUUUUUGAAGUUCAUGCAUGUCAAAAAUCAGCUCGAUUAUUGGUAUAAUCUAUCACAAGUAA
Molecule: long non-coding RNA, 136 nt
Organism: Cotesia glomerata
Lineage: Eukaryota; Metazoa; Arthropoda; Insecta; Hymenoptera; Braconidae
Exons: 2
Source: RefSeq, a predicted model, not a curated record